CGCGCGAGGUACCUAGCUACUUCCUCCAUGAUCCGUAUCUCUCUCUUCCAUCUCUCCAUAUCACUAUGUGUUUGUUUCUCGAGAAAGUAGAGAAAAAUGAGUUGAUUUUUUUUUUGGUUGGAUCUCAAUGUUAAGAGCUACUUUUACAUGUUGGAAAUGGAUUGAAACGAGAAUGCUGGUUUAUUUGUUAAAUUUCACUAUUUUUGCGGACUAAAGUUUGCAGUUAUGUUUAUAUUUUUGGUUUUAUUUCUUUCCUUUAAAACCUCGUUUGUUCAUCAUUUGCUUGAAGGAUGUUGCCAUAGAUGUGUUUCUUUUUAUCUGCGAACAUUUCUAUAUGCUUUAUUAUGUAAACUUCGAACGGAAAGCUAAAAUCAAGUGUUUUUUUUCUUUUUUUAAAUCUAGUGUUGUUUGAUUCUUGAUUUUGAAUGCCUGUAUCUUUAGUGUGUUACUAAUUGAUUUUUUUCCCCGGCAGUGAAGGAGGAUAAGAUGUCUCACAGGAAGUUUGAGCACCCAAGACACGGUUCUUUGGGAUUUCUCCCCAGGAAGCGUGCUGCCAGACACAGGGGAAAGGUGAAGGCAUUCCCAAAGGAUGACCCAAGCAAGCCUUGCAAGCUAACUGCCUUCUUGGGUUACAAGGCUGGAAUGACUCACAUUGUCAGAGAAGUUGAGAAACCUGGAUCAAAACUCCACAAGAAAGAGACAUGUGAAGCUGUUACCAUUGUUGAAACACCUCCUAUGGUGAUUGUUGGUGUUGUUGGGUAUGUGAAGACCCCUCGUGGUCUUCGUUGCCUGAACACAGUCUGGGCUCAACAUCUCAGUGAAGACAUUAAGAGGAGGUUCUACAAGAACUGGUGCAAAUCCAAGAAGAAGGCCUUCCUGAAGUACUCUAAGAAAUAUGAAACUGAUGAAGGGAAAAAGGAUAUCCAGGCACAGCUGGAGAAAUUGAAGAAGUAUGCUUGUGUCAUCCGUGUGUUGGCUCACACUCAGAUAAGGAAGAUGAAGGGUUUGAAACAGAAGAAAGCCCAUUUGAUGGAGAUCCAGGUUAAUGGAGGAUCAAUUGCUCAGAAGGUUGACUUCGCAUAUGGUUUCUUUGAGAAGCAGGUUCCAGUUGAUGCUGUUUUCCAG
Molecule: unclassified non-coding RNA, 1125 nt
Filed under: Hevea brasiliensis (rubber tree)
Lineage: Eukaryota; Viridiplantae; Streptophyta; Magnoliopsida; Malpighiales; Euphorbiaceae
Source: RNAcentral